CUGCAGUAUAGCUAUCUGUGCUAUAAUGAAGGAUCAGUUAAUUGCCUUAUGUGAAGGAGUAUAACUAGUGUACCUGUGUAUGCAUAGGAAAUAGCAGAUUCGCUUCAAAGCAAAGAGCUACAUUGCCUAUUCUUCCUCAGGAGGAGACCUUGCUGUGACAAGAGGCUUCUCAGCUGCUUGGGAACUAUAAAAGAAGGUCUCGGGCCUCAUCUUUUUUCAAUCUCAGCUCUGCUUAAACUUUAUCAGGGGAAGUUAAAGUUGCUAGACUGAGGUCUAUUCUGUAUUAUCCCUGCAAAUUCUCAUGGAAGAAUUUGAACAAACUCUGCACACGGACUGCCUAUUUGCCUAUAAUCUGUUGAACUGAUUCUGGAAGGACUUUUAUAAAUCAGCAGCCUCACCAUCUUCGCUAUGAAACUGACCUGAGACCUUUAUUCAUAUCUACUAUGCAUUCCUGGAGAGGAGACAUCAGCUGUGAGAGUGCCUGUCUCAGGAGACUUCCAAUUCAGGUUUGAGGCUUCUCCUGCGCUGUGAAUCAGAAGGAAUUCCUCUGAGAUCAAGUAUAAAAUCCAGACAGCACCUGACACCUGGCAUCUGAAGGAAUCUGAAUGUGGAUCUAAACCAGCCACCCAGCUCCAAGAAUGCAAAGGAAGGGAGAAAAUGCCUUUGGUGUUUGUGGGGUGAUUUAUUGCUUGUGUAUUGGUCUAACUAAACUCAUGCUUAUCGAGGAGCCUCUUCAACUGCUCAGUAAACUAAGGAGAUGGCUUUCAAAGCCCUUUUGUGCCAGAAACAAGAGGGAGGACAGGACUGAAUUGAUUCCCAGUGUCUUCUGCAGUGCACUAGUUUCAAGAUAUUAAUGUAGCCCCUCUUCCCUCCUCCCAAAAAGGCACUGAGCUUAGGGUCUUGAAGCAUGAGAGUGAAAGGCUUAGCACAUCAGGUAGAGGCCGUUGCUAUACAGAUUUCUCCCAUAGAGUCAAAGUCUUGGUCCACACUAGAGCUAGGUGGGAAAUUAAAAACGAAAUUAAUCAAAUAAUUUGUUUGAAAAGUAUCACAACAUUAAUUAACAACAUUGACUGGAAGAUGCCCGAGAGCCACCUGGAUCCCAGGACCUUUUCAGAGAAUCUUGUACUUCAAGGUAUAAGCCAACCAUUCAACUAAUUGAAAGAGGUUAGGAAAAAAUUUCCCUUGUGGGCAAUCUAUUCCAUAAUUAUGUGAUUUCUUUUAUCUGCCUCUGUGGCAUCUGGUUCUGUCCAUUUGUUAUAUACAAAAUACCAGACUAGAGGGGCCAAUGGGGGUAUUCUCAUUUGGCAAUUCUUCUGCUCCUAAAAAUAUCUAAGAAGAAACUAUAAGAGAGUAUUGACUUUCACCAAAAGAAGUGAUUGAUUAUUGCAGGGUCGGGUCAGGCUUACACAAAGAUAUGAAAUAGUAGAAAACAGAAUUACUUAGCAAUUAGCAUCUCUCACUCAAAAGGUUAAUUGCUUCCACUAGAUAACUUAAGUGAAUUAGACUGGGUUUUUUGUUUACAUUAUUUGACACAGGAAAUGUAGCCAUGGCCUUUCUUUGUCUUCAUCAGCUCUAUUCAGGGGUAAGAGGAAAUGGUUUGUAAAUGCAAUUUAAAGGUGGAUUGAAGUGGGUUUUUUUUUAACUAAAUAACUACUAGUUUAAGUUCUCAAAU
Long non-coding RNA from Chelonia mydas (Green sea turtle), 1672 nucleotides. RefSeq lists it as uncharacterized. The record is from RefSeq and is a predicted model, not a curated record. Lineage: Eukaryota; Metazoa; Chordata; Testudines; Cheloniidae. The transcript has 3 exons.